AAAGGGUGCGUAGGCGGUUUAUUAAGUCAGUGGUGAAAGACGGUCGCUCAACGAUUGCAGUGCCAUUGAUACUGGUAGACUUGAGUGAGAUUGAGGUAGCUGGAAUGGAUAGUGUAGCGGUGAAAUGCAUAGAUAUUAUCCAGAACACCAAUUGCGUAGGCAAGUUACUAAGUCUCAACUGACGCUGAGGCACGAAAGUGUGGGUAUCAAACAGGAUUAGAUACCCGAGU
This 230-nucleotide ribosomal RNA is filed under the name uncultured bacterium. RNAcentral's name for it is "partial 16S ribosomal RNA". It matches the Rfam family "Bacterial small subunit ribosomal RNA", at positions 562 to 791 of the family's 1533-position model. The record is from RNAcentral.